Vicia villosa (hairy vetch) is the source of this 1420-nucleotide long non-coding RNA. RefSeq lists it as uncharacterized. Lineage: Eukaryota; Viridiplantae; Streptophyta; Magnoliopsida; Fabales; Fabaceae. The record is from RefSeq and is a predicted model, not a curated record. The transcript is spliced from 2 exons.
UCAAAGCUUCUACAUCAUACUUGAUUUAAUUCCAACAAAAGGUGCCCCAUUGAACAGAGGUGUGUGGAUAUUGUAUAUAAACUACCCUUAGCAUCGAUUUCUAAGUUAUGUGGGACUAUUUUGCAAGUUGGUGCUUCAUUCCUGCCUCCUCACUAAACAAGUUGCAGAUUCUUUGUUGAUCUUUGGGUCGCUUGUUUGCUUACCAUACCAAUAUGCCUUCUAGCUUGUCAGAUCAAUAUCUAAGUGUCUAAGCUUUGAACCAGCUCCUUUCGUUGCAUAUUCAAUACCACUGCAGGAUGAAAAUCGCACAAUCUUUUAUGCCAUAUCUAUGCAGUAUUGACAAUAGCUCUAUCAGUUGUUUUCUUGUUCUUCAUUGGAUCAAAUGAAAAACUUUUGAUUUUCAUUUUAGUGUUGAAAAAUUGCCUUAUUAUUAGCGUCUUUGAUCAAACAUUAUUUAUUUUUAAAGAUGACUCUACAACCUUUCUCAAUUAAUUGACUCACACUUAGAAAGGUUUGAUCAACCUCGUGUACUUACAGAACAUAGGAAAUUAGCUUCAUACAUGUAUAGUUAUUUGAAGCAAGUGUCUUAAGGAGCUUCUGAAGACAAAAAAAAAUAGCUUACACGUUAAUUUUUUUCAAAAGGUAUUUGAAUAAGCUCACAGUCAUUGACUAGUAUUGAUAUAACUGUUGGAAGUUGCAAUUGCAACCCUCAAAAAAACAAUUAAGCAAUACAAGGAAUAUAUCAAACUGAAUAACUAGAUAUAAUCCCGUCAUCAUUUGGGUUGGGUUGGUGCCCCAAUUACUUUCAUCUUGAAACUAUCAGUCAGAACUCUUAACAUCAUGACACCAGGUACAACUUCAAUGUUUGUUUGGCAAAGAAAAAUUCAUGCCAUAAUAACUAAAAGUCAACCUUUUCAUCCACAACACACUAUUUACAUUAGUAACUUCAAGAUUAUGAACAAGAGAUAGACACAAAUGGUAAUGAAAAAGACUAAUGAACUUAUUUUAUGAUUGUGUUUUUUUUGACAGCCUCUUUCUGAUCUCCAUGAUGGCCUCAUAUCUUCUUUUGGUUAAAUCUUUCAUUGUCUCUUGAUAUUGCCGUUCAACUUUCUCUAACUCUAUUCUCGACUCAUCCUCAGAUUCAUAGAAAUUGUUACUUUCGAUGCUCGGAGACUUGCUCUUUUCAUCAGAGGAUGCCCCGAUCUCAGAUGCAUGCCUGGAUUGACUCCGUCCAUUCACCGUAGGUAAGUUGAAGUCUGUGAAUCCCGACCUAGCAGACGUGAAUGAAGCAGUAGAAAGAUUCUUCUCGUUAUAAUCAGAUGUUGCUGAAGUGUAUGAUGUGACGGAACAUAAAUCAUUAGUGUUUGAUGCAUGGGAUGAAACUUCUUCAAAAUUCAAGUUAUCGAUGUUUUCUUUUUCA